RNAcentral lists this ribosomal RNA (274 nucleotides) under uncultured bacterium. RNAcentral's name for it is "partial 16S ribosomal RNA". It matches the Rfam family "Bacterial small subunit ribosomal RNA", at positions 523 to 796 of the family's 1533-position model. The record is from RNAcentral.
AUACGGAGGGUGCAAGCGUUACUCGGAAUCACUGGGCGUAAAGCGCGCGCAGGCGGCUAUUUAAGUUGGAUGUGAAAGCCUACGGCUCAACCGUAGAACUGCAUCCAAAACUAUUUAGCUAGAGUGUGGGAGAGGAAGAUGGAAUUAGUUGUGUAGGGGUAAAAUCUGUAGAGAUAACUAGGAAUACCGAAAGCGAAGGCAAUCUUCUGGAACACUACUGACGCUGAGGCGCGAAAGCGUGGGGAGCAAACGGGAUUAGAAACCCUAGUAGUCC